GGAUUUGAUGAUAAUUUAUGACACCCAGUCUUACUUGCUCCUUUGGUGUGCUACCUGGUGAGAGAUUAAUUUCCUGAUCC
Arachis stenosperma is the source of this 80-nucleotide small nucleolar RNA. RefSeq annotates it as small nucleolar RNA U31b. The transcript has a single exon. The record is from RefSeq and is a predicted model, not a curated record. NCBI's taxonomy places the organism in Eukaryota, Viridiplantae, Streptophyta, Magnoliopsida, Fabales, Fabaceae.